AUGCGGAGCAUCCGACGAUCAUCCCCAUGUACACUCGAGCCUACGCCAUUGGACCUAAGUUUCAUGUGGCAAAUGACGCACGGAGGACAACGGUCACGAGCGCAUUGUCGCAAGCUCAUGGGAGGGAGGCACACAUCUCAUCCAGUGGAAAAGCACGCUCCAAAAAAUCUCUAACCCUCCAUGGAGCCAUUGCUAGGGGGCGAAGAGAUCAACGCCACCCACUAGCCACCCGAGAUGUAGAAGUGCGGAGAUUUCUUGCCUGGCGUACAACAAUGCGUGUUCAAUGGGUCGCCUCUUCUCACGCACAAGUCUCAGAGGGAGACAACGACAGCUAUUCAGAAUAACCACAACAAAAUUGUGACACAGGUGGUUAGUGGGAGAAGGAACCUGAGACCGCAGCCGAUUUUGCAGCAAGGGUGGUGUGUACAAGAUAGUUGUAGCAAACAUAUAUAUAAGUCACUCUGGAAAAAGUGUGUAGUUAUUGUUGUAAUAGAGAUCCAUUCCUAUAUUUUCACUGAUAUGCAUGGUUGAAUAGUACUAUGUGUGAUAUGUGAGAGUAAUGUAAUACAAAAUGAAACAUGGUGGACAGGGCUUCGUGACUGAGCUGGCGAAGAAGAUGUCAGUGGUGGAAACGGACAUGUUAUAGAAGAUGUUGAGGGUGGCACUGGAGUUGAUGGCCAAAUGGGGUUCCUCGGCACCGAAGAGAAGGAUGCUGCAGCGACACGUACUGGGUUCCAUUUCCAACCAGAGAAGAACUUAUGAAUGGCACUAGAAAGGAGACGAUCCUAUCCACUGUCACAAUGAAACAAGAGAAACAAUUCCUUGCAGUCAUCUAUAAGCCUAUUCUUUAAUCCGUUCAAUUACAGAGUUUAUGAUUAUGUAAAUGGAGUAUGGGAUCUGAGAAGAAAAAAAGUUGCAUCUGAUUCAAGGAAGAUAAUGGACAAGUACAUUGGUAUGAACAGGUCGUCGACUUUGACAGAAAAUGCAUACAGAUUAUCAGUUUUCCUGCUGAGUUGUACUAUUAUGCUACAGAAUACACAUCAGCUAUUAUGCUACAUAAUACGCAUAAUUAGUUACAGAUCAGUAGGCUACUCAUCUGGUUAGUUUUCUCAAGUCAUUUCUUCUGUGUAUAUAUGUUAUUUUCCUUUUUACACUAACAAGAGUUUCGUGCUUUCUGGUAUGGUGUGGUGCUCCCCCCUUCAUUUAGUGAGUUCUUCCUUAAUGGAGGAUAUGGUAUAGGUAAUAGUGAGUGGUGUUCUAGCUUAUGCACUAUUUCCCCCUGGCCCGAGUUCCACACCAUGACAUGCCGCCGCGUCUGCCACGGUGCCGACGCCUCCCUGGCUCGCGGGACAUCCCCUGUUUAUAUUGUAACAGACUCCCAUGAAUACAAUUGAGUUGCAUCCUAUAAUCUUCUACAUGCGUCAUCCGGUUUUAAUGGACAGGUUCCAGCAAAAUAUGUUCCGCUACAGGGAAACUGAGUGGGAAGGGUGUGUUGUAGGGUGGAGUUCUUGUGUUGGAACAACAUGUUGGAGAUAACAUGGCGAAUAGUCCGUACAACUACAUUUCUUCCCCACAUAUGAGUUGGAUUUGGGAGAGCCUAGAUGGUUGAAUUUGGGGAGUCUGCUGGGCACCCAUUUGAACACGGCCGAACGUAUGAGGGAGAAAUGAGCUUCGACUUGUUUAAUAUUGUACAAAAAAUAUUUGCUGCUAAUAAUAAGACAAGUUCUGAUUUGUAAAUGCAAUAUUCUUCCAUGUAUACAGAAUUAAAGAUUGAA
This is a long non-coding RNA of Triticum aestivum (bread wheat), 1775 nucleotides long. RefSeq lists it as uncharacterized. The record is from RefSeq and is a predicted model, not a curated record. Lineage: Eukaryota; Viridiplantae; Streptophyta; Magnoliopsida; Poales; Poaceae. The transcript is spliced from 6 exons.